GAUGAACGCUGGCGGCGUGCCUAAUACAUGCAAGUCGAGCGAACAGAUGAGGAGCUUGCUCCUCUGACGUUAGCGGCGGACGGGUGAGUAACACGUGGAUAACCUACCUAUAAGACUGGGAUAACUUCGGGAAACCGGAGCUAAUACCGGAUAAUAUAUUGAACCGCAUGGUUCAAUAGUGAAAGACGGUUUUGCUGUCACUUAUAGAUGGAUCCGCGCCGCAUUAGCUAGUUGGUAAGGUAACGGCUUACCAAGGCAACGAUGCGUAGCCGACCUGAGAGGGUGAUCGGCCACACGGGAACGGACACACGGUCCAGACCCCUACGGGGGGCAGAAGUAGGGAAUGUUCCGCAAGGGGCGAAACCCUGCAGGACAAACGCCGGGGGGGGAAAGAAGGCUUUCGGUUGGUAAAACCUUUUUUUUAGGGAAAAAAAAAUGUGUAAGUAACUAUGCCCGUUUUGACGGUCCCAAACCAAAAAGCCCCGGCAAAUUACGG
RNAcentral lists this ribosomal RNA (496 nucleotides) under uncultured bacterium. RNAcentral's name for it is "partial 16S ribosomal RNA". It matches the Rfam family "Bacterial small subunit ribosomal RNA", at positions 28 to 506 of the family's 1533-position model. The record is from RNAcentral.